UUCAUUCAGCGCUAGAGAUGCUAGAGAUUGUUGACCUUUCGUUAAUCGGACGCGCAAGCUAGCGGAGAGCCGUUGUGCGGAGGAGGUCCAUUCGGCGCUGCGCCAAAACCAGCGGCCCGGCCCGUCUUGUUCGAAGCAGACGGCUUUUCUCAUUGGGCGCUUGUCGCUAAACCGCAGCCGAUUUCGUGUUCUCAAGUGCGUAGUGCGGCGGCAACAGCUCUCCGAACUUUGAACGCGCCGUCCCUUUACUGCCGGAAUGGAGUGUCUGUAUGUGGAGGAGGCUGCAUUGCACAACCUGCUCCCUGCAGACAAUGAAAGCAUCCUGGAUAGGAACAUGGGCCAAAGGCUGAAUCAGCAGCUUGAAUAGGCCCAUAAACCUCUACAGGGCAGCUGCGUGCGUGCACCCGGACAUGAACAUCUGGGAAAAAUAAUAAAUAAAAAUGCUGUAUAAUCCGAAGGUGAAUCGGUAAUUACAGAACAUUUUUACAGUAGUGUUUAUAGCUUUCACACAGGGCCUUCAGCAUAAAUGUAAAGAAUAACAAUACCAAUAGCCAUUCA
This 558-nucleotide long non-coding RNA is filed under the name Dermacentor andersoni. Its description in RNAcentral is "uncharacterized LOC126516910". Lineage: Eukaryota; Metazoa; Arthropoda; Arachnida; Ixodida; Ixodidae. The record is from RNAcentral.